Molecule: ribosomal RNA, 447 nt
Filed under: uncultured bacterium
Lineage: Bacteria
Description: bacterial SSU rRNA
Rfam family: Bacterial small subunit ribosomal RNA
Source: RNAcentral
ACUCCUACGGGAGGCAGCAGUGGGGAAUCUUAGACAAUGGGGGAAACCCUGAUCUAGCCAUGCCGCGUGAGCGAUGAAGGCCUUAGGGUUGUAAAGCUCUUUCAGCUGGGAAGAUAAUGACGGUACCAGCAGAAGAAGCCCCGGCUAACUCCGUGCCAGCAGCCGCGGUAAUACGGAGGGGCUAGCGUUGUUCGGAAUUACUGGGCGUAAAGCGCACGUAGGCGGAUUGGUAAGUUGGGGGUGAAAUCCCGGGGCUCAACCCCGGAACUGCCUCCAAAACUCCCAGUCUUGAGGUCGAGAGAGGUGAGUGGAAUUCCGAGUGUAGAGGUGAAAUUCGUAGAUAUUCGGAGGAACACCAGUGGCGAAGGCGGCUCACUGGCUCGAUACUGACGCUGAGGUGCGAAAGCGUGGGGAGCAAACAGGNUUAGAUACCCUGGUAGCGACUGA